This 494-nucleotide ribosomal RNA is filed under the name uncultured bacterium. RNAcentral's name for it is "bacterial SSU rRNA". It matches the Rfam family "Bacterial small subunit ribosomal RNA", at positions 903 to 1397 of the family's 1533-position model. The record is from RNAcentral.
AAAGGAAUUGACGGGGGCCCGCACAAGCGGAGGAGCAUGUGGUUUAAUUCGAUGAUACGCGAGGAACCUUACCUGGGCUCGAACGUGUAUGGAAUUAUGCCGAAAGGUAUAAGCCAGCAAUGGCCGUAUACGAGGUGCUGCAUGGUUGUCGUCAGCUCGUGCCGUGAGGUGUUAGGUUAAGUCCUGCAACGAGCGCAACCCUUACCUUUAGUUGCCAGCAUGUAAUGAUGGGGACUCUAAAGGAACUGCCUACGCAAGUAGUGAGGAAGGUGGGGAUGACGUCAAAUCAGCACGGCCCUUAUGUCCAGGGCGACACACGUGCUACAAUGGCCGAUACAAAGGGCAGCUACCGGGCGACCGGAUGCGAAUCUUUAAAAUCGGUCUCAGUUCGGAUCGGAGUCUGCAACUCGACUCCGUGAAGUCGGAUUCGCUAGUAAUCGCGCAUCAGCCAUGGCGCGGUGAAUACGUUCCCGGGCCUUGCACACACCGCCCGU